Molecule: ribosomal RNA, 428 nt
Filed under: Shigella sonnei
Lineage: Bacteria; Pseudomonadati; Pseudomonadota; Gammaproteobacteria; Enterobacterales; Enterobacteriaceae
Description: partial 23S ribosomal RNA
Rfam family: Bacterial large subunit ribosomal RNA
Source: RNAcentral
UGUUUGAUGUUCUAACGUGGACCCGUGAUCCGGGUUGCGGACAGUGUCUGGUGGGUAGUUUGACUGGGGCGGUCUCCUCCUAAAGAGUAACGGAGGAGCACGAAGGUUGGCUAAUCCUGGUCGGACAUCAGGAGGUUAGUGCAAUGGCAUAAGCCAGCUUGACUGCGAGCGUGACGGCGCGAGCAGGUGCGAAAGCAGGUCAUAGUGAUCCGGUGGUUCUGAAUGGAAGGGCCAUCGCUCAACGGAUAAAAGGUACUCCGGGGAUAACAGGCUGAUACCGCCCAAGAGUUCAUAUCGACGGCGGUGUUUGGCACCUCGAUGUCGGCUCAUCACAUCCUGGGGCUGAAGUAGGUCCCAAGGGUAUGGCUGUUCGCCAUUUAAAGUGGUACGCGAGCUGGGUUUAGAACGUCGUGAGACAGUUCGGUCCC